GGCAGCCGCCGCGGUAACACCGGCAGCUCUAGUGGUAGCAAUUUUAUUGGGCCUAAAGCGUCCGUAGCCGGUUUAAUAAGUCUCUGGUGAAAUCCUGCAGCUUAACUGUGGGAAUUGCUGGAGAUACUAUUAGACUUGAGACCGGGAGAGGUUAGAGGUACUCCCAGGGUAGAGGUGAAAUUCUGUAAUCCUGGGAGGACCGCCUGUUGCGAAGGCGUCUAACUGGAACGGUUCUGACGGUGAGGGACGAAAGUUAGGGGCGCGAACCGGAUUAGAUACCCGGGUAGUCCUAACUGUAAACGAUGCGGACUUGGUGUUGGGGUGGCUUUGAGCUGCUUCAGUGCCGAAGGGAAGCUGUUAAGUCCGCCGCCUGGGAAGUACGGUCGCAAGACUGAAACUUAAGGAAUUGGCGGGGGAGCACCACAACGCGUGGAGCCUGCCGGUUUAAUUGGAUUCAACGCCGGACAUCUCACCAGAGGCGACAGCUGUAUGAUAGCCAGGUUGAUGACUUUGCUUGACUAGCUGAGUGGAGGUGCAUGG
Molecule: ribosomal RNA, 540 nt
Filed under: uncultured archaeon
Lineage: Archaea
Description: bacterial SSU rRNA
Rfam family: Archaeal small subunit ribosomal RNA
Source: RNAcentral